RNAcentral lists this ribosomal RNA (1540 nucleotides) under Klebsiella pneumoniae. RNAcentral's name for it is "bacterial SSU rRNA". It matches the Rfam family "Bacterial small subunit ribosomal RNA". The record is from RNAcentral. Lineage: Bacteria; Pseudomonadati; Pseudomonadota; Gammaproteobacteria; Enterobacterales; Enterobacteriaceae.
AAAUUGAAGAGUUUGAUCAUGGCUCAGAUUGAACGCUGGCGGCAGGCCUAACACAUGCAAGUCGAGCGGUAGCACAGAGAGCUUGCUCUCGGGUGACGAGCGGCGGACGGGUGAGUAAUGUCUGGGAAACUGCCUGAUGGAGGGGGAUAACUACUGGAAACGGUAGCUAAUACCGCAUAACGUCGCAAGACCAAAGUGGGGGACCUUCGGGCCUCAUGCCAUCAGAUGUGCCCAGAUGGGAUUAGCUAGUAGGUGGGGUAACGGCUCACCUAGGCGACGAUCCCUAGCUGGUCUGAGAGGAUGACCAGCCACACUGGAACUGAGACACGGUCCAGACUCCUACGGGAGGCAGCAGUGGGGAAUAUUGCACAAUGGGCGCAAGCCUGAUGCAGCCAUGCCGCGUGUGUGAAGAAGGCCUUCGGGUUGUAAAGCACUUUCAGCGGGGAGGAAGGCGUUAAGGUUAAUAACCUUGGCGAUUGACGUUACCCGCAGAAGAAGCACCGGCUAACUCCGUGCCAGCAGCCGCGGUAAUACGGAGGGUGCAAGCGUUAAUCGGAAUUACUGGGCGUAAAGCGCACGCAGGCGGUCUGUCAAGUCGGAUGUGAAAUCCCCGGGCUCAACCUGGGAACUGCAUUCGAAACUGGCAGGCUAGAGUCUUGUAGAGGGGGGUAGAAUUCCAGGUGUAGCGGUGAAAUGCGUAGAGAUCUGGAGGAAUACCGGUGGCGAAGGCGGCCCCCUGGACAAAGACUGACGCUCAGGUGCGAAAGCGUGGGGAGCAAACAGGAUUAGAUACCCUGGUAGUCCACGCUGUAAACGAUGUCGAUUUGGAGGUUGUGCCCUUGAGGCGUGGCUUCCGGAGCUAACGCGUUAAAUCGACCGCCUGGGGAGUACGGCCGCAAGGUUAAAACUCAAAUGAAUUGACGGGGGCCCGCACAAGCGGUGGAGCAUGUGGUUUAAUUCGAUGCAACGCGAAGAACCUUACCUGGUCUUGACAUCCACAGAACUUUCCAGAGAUGGAUUGGUGCCUUCGGGAACUGUGAGACAGGUGCUGCAUGGCUGUCGUCAGCUCGUGUUGUGAAAUGUUGGGUUAAGUCCCGCAACGAGCGCAACCCUUAUCCUUUGUUGCCAGCGGUCCGGCCGGGAACUCAAAGGAGACUGCCAGUGAUAAACUGGAGGAAGGUGGGGAUGACGUCAAGUCAUCAUGGCCCUUACGACCAGGGCUACACACGUGCUACAAUGGCAUAUACAAAGAGAAGCGACCUCGCGAGAGCAAGCGGACCUCAUAAAGUAUGUCGUAGUCCGGAUUGGAGUCUGCAACUCGACUCCAUGAAGUCGGAAUCGCUAGUAAUCGUAGAUCAGAAUGCUACGGUGAAUACGUUCCCGGGCCUUGUACACACCGCCCGUCACACCAUGGGAGUGGGUUGCAAAAGAAGUAGGUAGCUUAACCUUCGGGAGGGCGCUUACCACUUUGUGAUUCAUGACUGGGGUGAAGUCGUAACAAGGUAACCGUAGGGGAACCUGCGGUUGGAUCACCUCCUUA